UUUUCAGUGGCGCAGUGGUUAGCGUUGCCGUCUCACAGCCAGAAGGUUGUGGGUUUGAAUCCGGCCUGGGGAC
Gymnothorax javanicus (giant moray) is the source of this 73-nucleotide non-coding RNA. The record is from the annotation of a GenBank genome assembly. Lineage: Eukaryota; Metazoa; Chordata; Actinopteri; Anguilliformes; Muraenidae.